GCUUGUUGGUGGGGUAACGGCUCACCAAGGCCACGAUCUGUAGGGGUUCUGAGAGGAAGGUCCCCCACACUGGAACUGAGACACGGUCCAGACUCCUACGGGAGGCAGCAGUGAGGAAUAUUGGACAAUGGUCGGAAGCCUGAUCCAGCCAUGCCGCGUGAAGGAUACGGUCCUAUGGAUUUUAAAAUUUUUUUUUAUUGAAGCAAUAAGGUGCACGUGGGCAUCGAUGAGAGUACCAUCAGAAUAAGCAUUGGCUAAAUUCGUGCCAGCAGCCGCGGUAAUUCGGAGGAUGCCAGCGUUAUCCGGAUUUAUUGGGUUUAAAGGGUGGGUAGGCGGAUUAAUAAGUCAACGGUGAAAAUUACAGGCUCAACCUGUACCGUGCCCUUGAAACUGUUUAUCUUGAAUGCGGAUGCUGUGGGAGGAAAGUGUAGUGUAGCGGUGAAAAGCAUAGAUAUUACCCAGAACCCCGAUUGGGAAGGCAUCUCACAAAACCCUGAUUGACGGUGAGGCCAGAAAAGGUGGGGAUCAAACCGGAUUAGAUACCCUGGUAGUUCCAUACUGUAAACGAUGAUAACUCGCUGCCGGCGAUAUAUAGUCGGUGGCCCA
Molecule: ribosomal RNA, 606 nt
Filed under: uncultured bacterium
Lineage: Bacteria
Description: bacterial SSU rRNA
Rfam family: Bacterial small subunit ribosomal RNA
Source: RNAcentral